Molecule: RNase P RNA, 391 nt
Filed under: Bacteroidales bacterium
Lineage: Bacteria; Pseudomonadati; Bacteroidota; Bacteroidia; Bacteroidales
Description: RNase P RNA component class A
Rfam family: Bacterial RNase P class A
About the family: Ribonuclease P (RNase P) is a ubiquitous endoribonuclease, found in archaea, bacteria and eukarya as well as chloroplasts and mitochondria. Its best characterised activity is the generation of mature 5'-ends of tRNAs by cleaving the 5'-leader elements of precursor-tRNAs. Cellular RNase Ps are ribonucleoproteins.
Source: RNAcentral
GUGCAUGGACGUUCUAUCGCCUCGCUGCGAAAGCAACGGGGAGGAAAGUCGGGACAACACAGGGCAGCCUGCUUCCUAACGGGAAGGUACCAGGCCCGAAAGGACCGGGUAACAGAAAGUGCCACAGAAAAUUACCGCCUUAGCAAUGGGGUAAGGGUGAAAACGUGGGGUAAGAGCCCACGCAAUGUAAUGGUGACAUUGCAUUGGGGUAAACCUCAGGCGUUGAAAGGCCAAAUAAACCGGGGUGUCCUGCCUGGCAGGAUCUAAGGGUGGCCCGCCCGAUUCCCGGAGGGUAGGCCGAUUGAGGCAACGGGUGACCGUUGUCCCAGAUAAAUGAUAGAAAUCCGGUUGCGGCCGGAUACAGAAUCCCGCUUACAGGCCAUGCACAGUC